GUUUAGAUAUUUUGUUGCCUAGCAAUUACAAAACUCUAUAAGCAGUAAGCAUCAUACACAUUAUUCAACUUUGAGGAAAAACAACUUUAAUUGCAAAUUUAACACACGGAUUUUGAUAAUUAUAAUUAACUAUACUCUGUUUUGUAAUUAACUGGAUAACUCAUACUCUGUAUUGUAGUGGUUAUGAGUUUUUUGUUACCGGGCCACACAUGUAUUUGACUGCCUGCUAGAGAAAGAAAAUGAAAUUUAAAUACUUUUCUUUUUGCAUUUCACCUUAAUUUAUUAAAUUAUUUAAUCCAAUUUUAAAGAAAAUUAAAUGUUUUUAAUUUUUUAUGGCACUUCUAAUAUUUAUUUUCAGUUAAAAAGCAUCAAUCUCAGUUCAAUUCACUCAUCAAUGAUGUUCAUCAGAGACAUAUUGGUCAGGUGCAUGUCAAGAAAGAAAUUGAGGACUCAGUUUUCAUAAAUCAUGAAUAUGUUCCUGAUAAGACGAUUAGUGACCAUGACACAAUUGGACCUAUAAAAAUUGAAGAUCACUCUUCCUCAGGUACUGGCAAUAGUAAAGAAAUUGACAUUAUAGAUGCGUCAUCAUUGGAUGAUUUUGAUAUUUCAAAACGUACUGUGAAUCAUCAUCAUAAAAGAAAGAAAGCUUCUCUGGGUAACCAAAAUCAAUCCAGUCCUAAGAAAAAAUAAAAUGGAGUAUAUUAUAGAUUUUAUUUCAAAAUAUUGUAUUCUAAAUUUGAAAUAUUCAUUUUUUUCACUUUCUGUCACAAGAGCCAAAAGAAUAUAUUAUAUUUAUCUAUGUAUUUUUAAUGUUUAACAAUUUUGAAAUUUGCAUAAGCAUAAUUUACAAAGAUAGUUUUAUUAAUAAUAAGACAUUAUAUUCACAUUUAAAUCGUCUCAUUUUUAUAAAAUAGCUUAUUGCACUUAUAUCUAUGAAAUUACAAAUAGCACUGUUAUAAUUUUGAAAUAUUAGAAAGAAAGAAUUAAAAACUUGCAAUUUGUAAAGGUGUUCAUUUUUUUUCCACUAUGCAUUUACGAGUAUAAUGUAUUAUUGCUUACUCCAGGCUUUAUUUUUUUUAAAUUGAAGUUACUAAUUAAUUUUUAUUUUCCUAAUUAGAUAUUUUUUAAAUUAAAUAAAUUAGAAUGUAAAAUUGGUCAGUCAUUGGACAAGUGAUGAACUAAAAUUUAACUGUAAUUUUUUCUACAUUUUUUCCUUAAUAUUUUUAAAAUUAGCCUGGGUUAGUUCUAAUACAUAUUUUUAAUGGUAACAAAAAGAGUAAAGUACAUGAUCGUAUAAAAAGCACUUUUUCUAAAAUUAAGUAAAUAUUUUUGAUUUCUAAAAAAAUGUAAUGUAUAAUUAAUGAUUUCUGAACAAUUAUAGUUUUACUCGUAUAAAAUUCCUGUCAAAAAUGUAUCUCCUGUAAUCGUAAGGAAAUCUUGAUAUAGCAUGGUUAUUUUCUUGUGAGUGUGUGAAUUUCCUUUGUUGGAUAGGGGAAUGUAGAAGCAAUGUUGCUGACUUUCAAUUUAUUUCAUAUUUAUGAAUUAUUUAUUUCUAACUGAUGUGAUCUUUUUUUUUUUUAUUUAAAAUUCUGUGCUGUGCAAUAGAUUAUAAUUGUUGAAAUUAUUUAUGUUGUAUAUUUUUGAAUAAAAGAUUUUCUCGUAAAUAGGGAAUUUAAUAAUACAAUUUUUUCCAAAAGCGACAUUUUUGCAUUAAACAUUCUUAAUAUCUUU
Parasteatoda tepidariorum (common house spider) is the source of this 1731-nucleotide non-coding RNA. Lineage: Eukaryota; Metazoa; Arthropoda; Arachnida; Araneae; Theridiidae. The record is from RefSeq and is a predicted model, not a curated record.